UAUCCAUAUAAUGUCACGUCUCAUGACCGGUCUCAUUGACAGUGGUCUUCUGUCACCACUGUAUCCCCAAAUUAUUGUUUCUAUCUUUUUGUUGCAUAGCUACAGCUCACUUCAUCAUCCUAGGUAUGCCACAGCUUCCCCCCCCCCCACACCUCUCCAUUUGAAACUCCAAAUAUAUGCCUAAAGUGUCCCCUCUUCUUUCUCCGUGUGCAGAUGUCCUGGCUCUCAACAAAGGCACCAGACAGGAUUGUUUUUUCUCUUGCAUAAGCACUUCCCGAUGUCCACUACACUCUUUUCUCAAUCUUCUCCAGUCUUUUGCAAACUGUGAUGUUCAGAUGUCCUAUAAGCCUGACUUCCUGAUGUCCACUACACUCCGUUCUCAACCUUCUCCGGUCUUCUGCAAACUGUGAAUGCCUCCUUGUGUUGGAUUCAUGAUGUUCACCAUACUGCACGGCCUACUUUUUUCUUCGCAAGCUAUGGAAAGAAACUCUGUUCAGCUCAUGAAACGGACUGUUCACAUUUUUUGACUUUUGUGGAGGAAGCAGGGUA
Molecule: long non-coding RNA, 549 nt
Organism: Sardina pilchardus (European sardine)
Lineage: Eukaryota; Metazoa; Chordata; Actinopteri; Clupeiformes; Clupeidae
Exons: 3
Source: RefSeq, a predicted model, not a curated record